AUACGGAAGGUCCGGGCGUUAUCCGGAUUUAUUGGGUUUAAAGGGAGCGCAGGCGGAGAUGCAAGCGUGACGUCAAAUUUCGGGGCUCAACCCCGUCUCGCGUCGCGAACUGCGUCCCUUGGUUGCGGGAAGGGGAGGCGGAACUCGUGGUGUAGCGGUGAAAUGCAUAGAUAUCACGAAGAACUCCGAUCGCGAAGGCAGCCUUCCGGCCCGUCAACGACCCUCAUGCUCGAAGGUGCGGGUAUCAAACAGGAUUAGAUACCCUGGUAGUCCGCACAGUAAACGAUGGACACCCGCGGUUUGGCCUGUAUGGCUGAGCCGCCAAGCGAAAGCGUUAAGUGUCCCACCUGGGGAGUACGCCGGCAACGGUGAAACUCAAAUGAAUUGACGGGG
Molecule: ribosomal RNA, 393 nt
Filed under: uncultured bacterium
Lineage: Bacteria
Description: partial 16S ribosomal RNA
Rfam family: Bacterial small subunit ribosomal RNA
Source: RNAcentral